AAUAACCAAGUUAAAGCCAAAACGCUCCCUGUAACCAAUACCUUGGUAG
Molecule: small RNA, 49 nt
Filed under: Arabidopsis thaliana (thale cress)
Lineage: Eukaryota; Viridiplantae; Streptophyta; Magnoliopsida; Brassicales; Brassicaceae
Description: ATSL203010
Source: RNAcentral